RNAcentral lists this ribosomal RNA (497 nucleotides) under uncultured bacterium. Its description in RNAcentral is "partial 16S ribosomal RNA". It matches the Rfam family "Bacterial small subunit ribosomal RNA", at positions 28 to 507 of the family's 1533-position model. The record is from RNAcentral.
GAUGAACGCUGGCGGCGUGCCUAAUACAUGCAAGUCGAGCGAACGGACGAGAAGCUUGCUUCUCUGAUGUUAGCGGCGGACGGGUGAGUAACACGUGGAUAACCUACCUAUAAGACUGGGAUAACUUCGGGAAACCGGAGCUAAUACCGGAUGAUAUUUUGAACCGCAUGGUUCAAAAGUGAAAGACGGUCUUGCUGUCACUUAUAGAUGGAUCCGCGCUGCAUUAGCUAGUUGGUAAGGUAACGGCUUACCAAGGCAACGAUGCAUAGCCGACCUGAGAGGGUGAUCGGCCACACUGGAACUGAGACACGGUCCAGACUCCUACGGGAGGCAGCAGUAGGGAAUCUUCCGCAAUGGGCGAAAGCCUGACGGAGCAACGCCGCGUGAGUGAUGGAGGUCUUCGGAUCGUAAAACUCUGUUAUUAGGGAAGAACAUAUGUGUAAGUAACUGUGCACAUCUUGACGGUACCUAAUCAGAAAGCCACGGCUAACUACGUG